Molecule: ribosomal RNA, 252 nt
Filed under: uncultured bacterium
Lineage: Bacteria
Description: partial 16S ribosomal RNA
Rfam family: Bacterial small subunit ribosomal RNA
Source: RNAcentral
UACAGAGGUCCCAAGCGUUGUUCGGAUUCAUUGGGCGUAAGGGUGCGUAGGUGGCGUCGUAAGUCGGGUGUGAAAUCUCGGGGCUUAACUCCGAAACUGCAUUCGAUACUGCGGUGCUUGAGGACUGGAGAGGAGACUGGAAUUUACGGUGUAGCAGUGAAAUGCGUAGAGAUCGUAAGGAAGACCAGUGGCGAAGGCGGGUCUCUGGACAGUUCCUGACACUGAGGCACGAAGGCCAGGGGAGCAAACGGG